UGAACGCUGGCGGUAGGCUAACACAUGCAAGUCGAACGGCAGCACAGUAAGAGCUUGCUCUUAUGGGUGGCGAGUGGCGGACGGGUGAGGAAUACAUCGGAAUCUACUCUGUCGUGGGGGAUAACGUAGGGAAACUUACGCUAAUACCGCAUACGACCUACGGGUGAAAGCAGGGGAUCUUCGGACCUUGCGCGAUUGAAUGAGCCGAUGUCGGAUUAGCUAGUUGGCGGGGUAAAGGCCCACCAAGGCGACGAUCCGUAGCUGGUCUGAGAGGAUGAUCAGCCACACUGGAACUGAGACACGGUCCAGACUCCUACGGGAGGCAGCAGUGGGGAAUAUUGGACAAUGGGCGCAAGCCUGAUCCAGCCAUACCGCGUGGGUGAAGAAGGCCUUCGGGUUGUAAAGCCCUUUUGUUGGGAAAGAAAUCCAGCCGGCUAAUACCUGGUUGGGAUGACGGUACCCAAAGAAUAAGCACCGGCUAACUUCGUGCCAGCAGCCGCGGUAAUACGAAGGGUGCAAGCGUUACUCGGAAUUACUGGGCGUAAAGCGUGCGUAGGUGGUCGUUUAAGUCCGUUGUGAAAGCCCUGGGCUCAANCUGGGAACUGCAGUGGAUACUGGACGACUAGAGUGUGGUAGAGGGUAGCGGAAUUCCUGGUGUAGCAGUGAAAUGCGUAGAGAUCAGGAGGAACAUCCAUG
Molecule: ribosomal RNA, 696 nt
Filed under: uncultured Pseudomonadota bacterium
Lineage: Bacteria; Pseudomonadati; Pseudomonadota
Description: bacterial SSU rRNA
Rfam family: Bacterial small subunit ribosomal RNA
Source: RNAcentral